RNAcentral lists this ribosomal RNA (529 nucleotides) under uncultured Cronobacter sp. Its description in RNAcentral is "bacterial SSU rRNA". It matches the Rfam family "Bacterial small subunit ribosomal RNA", at positions 505 to 1036 of the family's 1533-position model. Lineage: Bacteria; Pseudomonadati; Pseudomonadota; Gammaproteobacteria; Enterobacterales; Enterobacteriaceae. The record is from RNAcentral.
GUGCCAGCAGCUGCGGUAAUACGGAGGAUGCAAGCGUUAAUCGGAAUUACUGGGCGUAGAGCGCACGCAGGUGGUCUGUCAAGUCGGAUGUGAAAUCCCCGGGCUCAACCCGGGAACUGCAUUCGAAACUGGCAGGCUUGAGUCUCGUAGAGGGGGGGUAGAAUUCCAGGUGUAGCGGUGAAAUGCGUAGAGAUCUGGAGGAAUACCGGUGGCGAAGGCGGCCCCCUGGACGAAGACUGACGCUCAGGUGCGAAAGCGUGGGGAGCAAACAGGAUUAGAUACCCUGGUAGUCCGCGCUGUAAACGAUGUCGACUUGGAGGUUGUGCCCUUGAGGCGUGGCUUCCGGAGCUAACGCGUUAAGUCGACCGCCUGGGGAGUACGGCCGCAAGGUUAAAACUCAAAUGAAUUGACGGGGCCCGCACAAGCGGUGGAGCAUGUGGUUUAAUUCGAUGCAACGCGAAGAACCUUACUGGUCUUGACAUCCACAGAAGUUUCAGAGAUGAGAACGUGCCUUCGGAACUGUGAGACG